AGAGUUUGAUCCUGGCUCAGAUUGAACGCUGGCGGCAUGCCUUACACAUGCAAGUCGAACGGCAGCACGGGAGCUUGCUCCUGGUGGCGAGUGGCGAACGGGUGAGUAAUACAUCGGAACGUACCCAGGAGUGGGGGAUAACGUAGCGAAAGUUACGCUAAUACCGCAUAUUCUGUGAGCAGGAAAGCGGGGGAUCGCAAGACCUCGCGCUCUUGGAGCGGCCGAUGUCGGAUUAGCUAGUUGGUGAGGUAAAAGCUCACCAAGGCGACGAUCCUUAGCUGGUCUGAGAGGAUGAUCAGCCACACUGGGACUGAGACACGGCCCAGACUCCUACGGGAGGCAGCAGUAGGGAAUAUUGGACAAUGGGGGCAACCCUGAUCCAGCAAUGCCGCGUGAGUGAUGAAGGCCUUAGGGUUGUAAAGCUCUUUUACCCGGGAUGAUAAUGACAGUACCGGGAGAAUAAGCUCCGGCUAACUCCGUGCCAGCAGCCGCGGUAAUACGGAGGGAGCUAGCGUUGUUCGGAAUUACUGGGCGUAAAGCGCACGUAGGCGGCUAUUCAAGUCAGAGGUGAAAGCCCGGGGCUCAACCCCGGAACUGCCUUUGAAACUAGAUAGCUUGAAUCCAGGAGAGGUGAGUGGAAUUCCGAGUGUAGAGGUGAAAUUCGUAGAUAUUCGGAAGAACACCAGUGGCGAAGGCGGCUCACUGGACUGGUAUUGACGCUGAGGUGCGAAAGCUAGGGGAGCAAACAGGAUUAGAUACCCUGGUAGUCC
RNAcentral lists this ribosomal RNA (770 nucleotides) under uncultured bacterium. Its description in RNAcentral is "bacterial SSU rRNA". It matches the Rfam family "Bacterial small subunit ribosomal RNA", at positions 8 to 796 of the family's 1533-position model. The record is from RNAcentral.